This 4287-nucleotide long non-coding RNA is filed under the name Coffea arabica (coffee). RNAcentral's name for it is "long non-coding RNA (CARA_LNC000405)". Lineage: Eukaryota; Viridiplantae; Streptophyta; Magnoliopsida; Gentianales; Rubiaceae. The record is from RNAcentral.
UUGAUUUUUUUUUUUUUUUUUUUUUGUGGUAAGAGGGCGGGCGUAGGCCCUUGACAAGGGACAAUGUAAGGGUAAACUUCGAAGUGUUCAUGGUUUGUUAGGAAACAUUUAUAAAUUAAACCGCAUAUAAAGUCAUUAAUUGUCUAUCUUGCGAGACCAUUUUAAGAUGAGUACAUUCAAGGAAAAAUCAUUCAAAACGUCACUUACAUUUUAUCAAAUAAAAUUUUUCAUUAUUCACUUUUAAAAUGAUAACUUGACGUUUCUUACAAAAUCAAAUUGACAAAUUUUUGUUCCUACCUAGAUUUUUGAUUAUUUUUUACGUUGAAUCCAUCAUGUAACUGACACAUAUUUUUUUUUAAGGGCAAAAAGAUUAUAUCUCAUUUAUCAUUAAACCAACAAUUCAAUCCAUAUUCAUUUUUAUCCCUAAAAAAAGGGUCUAAGUCGAAUCAUAUUUUUUUUCCCUCUUAUUUCCACUUCCAAGUGUUCUGAUUCUAUCACUUGCCGUGACUAGGCUUGUUAAAUGGUUCUUAAUAUAUGCGUGCAAAUUUCAUAAGCAUUGUACCCUUGAUGAGGGAUGGAUUGAGGUUUUUGCGAGCUCGAGCUCGAGUUUCGAGCUCGAUGAGCUCGGCUCGAUUUUAAACUCGAGUUCGAGCUCGAGCUCGAGUUUUCUACUAGUAUAUCGAGUCGAUCUCAAAUGCCUUGUAAAGCUCGAAUUACUAAUCGAGCGAGCUCGAGCUAGCUCGAUUAGAGGUUCGAGUCGAGCUCGAUUGUCCUAUGCUCGAGCUCGACUCGACUCGUUUAACAGGUCUAUUUAACUGCCGUGGAACAAACCCAUGGCUUUUUCUCUUUUUUUUUUUUUGAAGGCAAUAAAAGAAAACUAUCCAAAUCGUUUUCUUUUUCUUUCUUUCUUUUUUUUUCUAAUACAUUUGUUUUUUAUUUUAAAAAAUCUAUCUGACUCACAUAAUAUUAGUCAGAUUUUGUCAUAUUUUUCCAUUUAAUUUGCUUUUCUCACAAAAAGUUAGAUCGAAGGUUCACUAGUACUUCAUUUAUAUGAGUUGAGCAGGUAAUUUAAAAUAAAAAUUAGUUAAAUGACAAAAAGUAUAAUUUAAAUAGUACGUCACUUUUUGUCAUGUGAUGUGAUGGAUGUGAUAAAAGAGAAGAUAUGAUUAGAAAGAUUAAACAAAAAGUAAUUAAAAAAUGAGUUUAUUAAGCAAUGAAAAAGAUUCAUUUUUGUAUGAUUACUUAGCCAAAUUGAAGUGUUUACUCUUUUAUGUUUAACCAUUUUUCUAUUGAUAUAAAAAGGCUUGUAAAUUUGCUCUUUUUUUUUUUUUUUUUUGUGGUAAGAGGGCGGGCGUAGGCCCUUGACAAGGGACAAUGUAAGGGUAAACUUCGAAGUGUUCAUGGUUUGUUAGGAAACAUUUAUAAAUUAAACCGCAUAUAAACUCAUUAAUUGUCUAUCUUGCGAGACCAUUUUAAGAUGAGUACAUUUAAGGAAAAAUCAUUCAAAACGUCACUUACAUUUUAUCAAAUAAAAUUUUUUAUUAUUUACUUUUAAAAUGAUAACUUGACGUUUCUUACAAAAUUAAAUUGAUAAAUUUUUGUUCCAACCUAGAUUUUUGAUGAUUUUUUACGUUGAAUCCAUCAUGUAACUGACACAUAUUUAUUUUUUUUUAAGGGCAAAAAGAUUAUAUCUCAUUUAUAGUUAAACCAACAAUUCAAUCCAUAUUCAUUUUUAUCCCUAAAAAAGGAUCUAAGCCGAAUCAUAUUUAUUUUUUCCCCAAAAGAAGUGGCAUAUGAUCCAAUCCACAUUUAUUUUUGUAACUAAAAAAAAGUGAGAUUUGAUCUUUUUUUUUAUAUAUAAAAAAUAAUUGUAUACGAGUCACGUGGUGAUUUCAAACUAAAAAGUAAUUGAAAAUUUAGGUUGAAACCAAAUUUUAGUAAUUUGAAUUUGUAAGGAACCUAAAGUUAACGUUUUAAAAAGUAAAGAACCAAAAAAUUCAUUUAACAAAAUAUGAGAAAUAUUUGAAAUAAUUUUCCCUACAUUUGAUCAUUACUUAUCCAAAAGAAAUUAGAAGCAGGACAUUUUAUUUGAUGUAGUUUAGUUACAAAGAAUAUGUUGGUUUUGAUCGUUAUUUUAUUUUGGAGUGAUUGCUUGGAUUGUUACCUUAAAAUGAAGGGGAAGAUGGGAAAAAAGGUUCAAGAAACGAAAAACUGCACCUUUGGAUCCACGGUAGGUAGUUUUCCUUUGCAAAAUGACAUUUACUUGCUCAGUGUCUGAUGACUUAGCUUCAAAUUCGGUUCGCCAGAUUCUUCUUUCAGAAAAGCUGCAGGAUGGUACGCGAGCAGGACGAAUAUGGCUACUGCUAUCAAUCCAACUUUCAUCGGGUUUAAAGUAGCCAUUGAAUUACAAUUAAUUAUUGACACAGUAGCUAUUUCGCGUAAGUGAAACAUUGUAGAACGUAAUACAAAGCCCCCCAGCUAAGCCAUGAGAGGAGGAAGGACGAUAACUUGGAAUGUAAGGAUUACAAGAAUGAAAACAGUCAUCGUCUCCAUUUUAUUUUUCCAAAGUGCUGAUUUUCUGGAGCAGAGGAAAGACAAUCCAGGGCACUCUGAGCAUCGUCGCCGGCGGUCUCAAAAAUCUGUCAGGCAUUCCAGUGCCGCUCCAGCGCUUUGCCGCCACCACCACGUUCUUGAAAAAACCACCGGUCUUGGCGCUGACCGCUAUAUAUCACUGUCCUCCGAGCGAAGGGAAGGUUCAGUGGAAGGAAGAACUUGAAAGUAGUCGAGGAGAACGGCUUUUGGUCUAAUGACUAAAAUUGAAAGUUAAAAACUUACAAAUCAAAUCCCCUUUCUCCAUCCUUAGCUUCUUAAAUCUACUCAUUUCCCACUGCUUAGAAAAAAAGAAAAAGAAAAGAAUGAAACACUUGAAAGCCAUCGUCUCUUCUCGUCUUGUCUAGUGCUAAACUGCUAAUGCCAAAAGAAGCAAGCUAAUCAGACGACUAACGCACAAGGAAUAAUUGGGAUCGCUGGAAACGACGUAGCAGCAAUUUCAGGAACCGUGCGCGAGGCUAUGACUGGAGCAAAUACCUCCCAUUUUCUCAUCUGCGUUGCCGAAACAGAAAUACAGAGUCAUAUACAUUUAAAUUAUUAUUGACUUGCGUAGUAGGAGUACUAGAUAGAUAGAAUGGUGGCCUCUGUCUGGUUUUUUUUUUUUUACCAGGAGGUUACUUUUAAGGAGAGAUUUGGCAGAAAGAAGCGCUUUUCAUCCGACUUGAGUGAGUUACCACUACCAAAAGAAGUUCUUAUCCGUGAGAUGUUACUGAAUAGCGUAAUUACACACUCUGAUUUUAGGCCUGACCCAUCCUUUGUUUUAUUUUAUCGACUGACAAUACGCCCUCUAGGACGCCUGUGAGGAUCUGGAUCUUCUGCAGUCACAGUUGUGAUUGGAAACAACAGUUUAUGUUGUGGAUCGCGUCAUUUUGAAAUGGAUGGCUGUGAUUUGAUUUAUUUAUGAAUACAAAAUCAACAAUAGUUGUCGUGGUUUUGCAUGUUAUUGUUCUAAUAUCUAGAGGUUAGUUAGUUUAGUGUCUAUAUUUAUUGUAUGACAACAACCGCGGAAACCCUUGAUCCUGUGUAGUAGACCGAGCAGAACGAAGCAUUGAACGGGAAAGAUCCGAAAAGCUGAAAAUGCGAGUAUGUCAGCAGUGAAUUUUGACCUCCCUGUCUCAGAAUCAGAGCAAACUAGGGGGGUAAAAAAAAAAAAAAGAGCAGCACCCACGUUAAGCCUGAAGUCAGGCAAGAUUGCCAUCGUUGCAGAUGAGGUCCAACCAAUUAAAGCAGCAAAAGAAAGCUUGCCAAUUAGAUAGCAGAUUCAUUUGAGCUCUAUAGUUCCUCGAUGUGUAUUCAACAUGGUGCGGCUUUCAAAUGCGUUCUAUACAACGGGGAGCAUAUGAUCAUAAUUAACAUGCCGAGAAACUUCAGCUACAGUAGGCAAAUAAAAUGACAAAAAGGAGAAAGAAAAGACAAAAGGGAAAGAAAAUCUUUUAAGACUUCUAGUUUCUAGUACAACAGUAACAAUGAAUAUUUACACUCUCAUCCAACAUGUAGAGAAUGACCACCAAACAGGGGGAAAACUGAUAAUGCUUCUCUACAAGGGAUGAAAGAAGGCACCAAUUUCCAUCCCUUCAAUUAAAAAGAGUUAAACUGAAUUUUUCCAUUUCGAAUAAUCUCACCACACAAAGCAUGACAUGUUAAAACAACAGCUUGACCUAAAAGUAAGCUCUCAAU